RNAcentral lists this ribosomal RNA (439 nucleotides) under uncultured bacterium. Its description in RNAcentral is "partial 16S ribosomal RNA". It matches the Rfam family "Bacterial small subunit ribosomal RNA", at positions 339 to 795 of the family's 1533-position model. The record is from RNAcentral.
CUACGGGUCGCACCAGUGGGGAAUAUUGCACAAUGGGGGAAACCCUGAUGCAGCAACGCCGCGUGGAGGAUGACGCAUUUCGGUGUGUAAACUCCUUUUAUAUACCAAGAUAAUGACGGUAGUAUAUGAAUAAGCACCGGCUAACUCCGUGCCAGCAGCCGCGGUAAUACGGAGGGUGCAAGCGUUACGCGGAAUCACUGGGCGUAAAGGGCGCGUAGGCGGGUUAUCAAGUCUUGAGUGAAAUCCAACGGCUUAACCGUUGAACUGCUUGGGAAACUGGUAGCCUAGAGUAAGGGAGAAGUAGAUGGAAUUGGUGGUGUAGGGGUAAAAUCCGUAGAGAUCACCAGGAAUACCCAUUGCGAAGGCGAUCUGCUGGAACUUUACUGACGCUGAGGCGCUAAAGCGUGGGGAGCAAACAGGAUUAGAUACCCGCGUAGUC